Molecule: long non-coding RNA, 1333 nt
Organism: Drosophila miranda
Lineage: Eukaryota; Metazoa; Arthropoda; Insecta; Diptera; Drosophilidae
Exons: 3
Source: RefSeq, a predicted model, not a curated record
GAAUAUGGUUAGUCCGUGCUCAGAUUUGUUUGGAGCAACACAUAAAUUUUUUCGAAAAUAAAGCCUUCCUAAAUAGUAGAAAAAAAGUCUCUGCCUCUGUCUCUGUUCCUCAAUCCGGAAUAAGAAUCGUCGAAACGCAACAAUAUAUUUCUGAAUCAUUAAAUAUGCAAAUCGUCAUUCUACAAAGGCACAUAAGCUUUAUAAUAAUAUUGAAGCUAGAUGACGCCCGUAAAACUAAAGAAGAACUAGAAGUAGUCAGGAAAUCAUCGUAACCAUACUAGUAUAUACAUACAUAUGUAUGUACAUAUGUAUGCAUGUAUAUUAUUCAAGUAACAAUCCAGAUACUCUCUAAGAAGGAAAAGGAUAUUUUAGGUAAAAAAAUGUGUGGCCUUAAUGUGAUACUGCCCGAAGACGUCGCCAAAAUAGCUAAAGGCGCGUAAUUGACUGAUUGACUUCAUUUUAACGAGAUUAAACAGCAAGCUCUCGAAACUGACGUCUAGACCGUGAGGAAAAUCCCUUUGGUUCCCAACCGAGUCAGUGCAACUGGGAAGCUUUUUAAAAAGUUGCAGUUCUCCGGAAAUUACGCAUUUUAGAUUUGAAGCAAAUUUAAUUUCAUUUGAACGCGCAAUUAAAUGAAAAGUGGAGGUCAGCGACAGGGACAACGACAGGCGACGGAGAACCUGAAGUCUAAAACGUUUAAGCUACUUAGAGUCACUUUUCUUUCCAGUGGCAUUAAACACAAAUAAAUAGUUACAAAGUGCAGUCGUGUAGAUGAAGAUGCGGUCACCGUCGAGACACCGUCAGACAUAGCAGACCCAAACUCCUCAGAGUAAAGCCACCGGCAAAGAGACUGGAAAUUGCAGCAGUGUUCACACCUUGCGGCACGUAGUCGCUGCCUUAGCGCCACUUCAUUUGACCUGUCACUUUAAACGCCUUUAAAUAUGCGAUGGAGUAACAGUAAAGUUGACUAGCUUGCACCACUUUAUGGCUCGCUUUCCAUUAUAUGUCGCGGUUGUUAGCAAUGAUGUUUUUCCUUUGCGCCUGCUUAACCUUUAAGAAACCGCCUGAGACACUAUUGUCUAAUUACCCCAGGACCAACACAGCGGCCCAGGCAGGCAACCGGCAACCGUCGUCUAUAAAGAGGUAAAAUACGACAUCAUAGCAGAGGUUGACGUUGCCGUAGCCGUAGCCGAGUUCCGUUCCCUGCCUCUGUCGCUAUGCCGCCGUUAUCGUGGAAGGGCGCAAACUGGUUUAUAAUUAAAGCGUAUUUGAUUUCUUUUACAGUAUUUUUACACAAAACAAAAUAUAAAAAAGAUGCGAAAAAUACAAAAAA